This 497-nucleotide ribosomal RNA is filed under the name uncultured bacterium. RNAcentral describes it as "bacterial SSU rRNA". It matches the Rfam family "Bacterial small subunit ribosomal RNA", at positions 31 to 518 of the family's 1533-position model. The record is from RNAcentral.
GAACGCUGGCGGCAGGCCUAACACAUGCAAGUCGAACGGUAACAGGAAACAGCUUGCUGUUCGCUGACGAGUGGCGGACGGGUGAGUAAUGUCUGGGAAACUGCCUGAUGGAGGGGGAUAACUACUGGAAACGGUAGCUAAUACCGCAUAACGUCGCAAGACCAAAGAGGGGGACCUUCGGGCCUCUUGCCAUCGGAUGUGCCCAGAUGGGAUUAGCUUGUUGGUGGGGUAACGGCUCACCAAGGCGACGAUCCCUAGCUGGUCUGAGAGGAUGACCAGCCACACUGGAACUGAGACACGGUCCAGACUCCUACGGGAGGCAGCAGUGGGGAAUAUUGCACAAUGGGCGCAAGCCUGAUGCAGCCAUGCCGCCGUGUAUGAAGAAGGCCUUCGGGUUGUAAAGUACUUCAGCGGGGAGGAAGGGAGUAAAGUUAAUACCUUUGCUCAUUGACGUUACCCGCAGAAGAAGCACCGGCUAACUCCGUGCCAGCCGCCGC